GAUGAACGCUAGCUACAGGCUUAACACAUGCAAGUCGAGGGGUAACGAGAGGAAAGCUUGCUUUCCUUGUCGACGACCGGCGCACGGGUGAGUAACGCGUAUCCAACCUGCCCCCAACUAGGGAAUAACCUUGCGAAAGUAAGACUAAUACCCUAUAAUUUCCUCAGAUGUCAUCUGACGAGGAAUAAAGAUUUAUCGGUUGUGGAUGGGGAUGCGUCUGAUUAGCUAGUUGGCGGGGUAACGGCCCACCAAGGCAACGAUCAGUAGGGGUUCUGAGAGGAAGGUCCCCCACAUUGGAACUGAGACACGGUCCAAACUCCUACGAGAGGCAGCAGUGAGGAAUAUUGGUCAAUGGGCGGAAGCCUGAACCAGCCAAGUAGCGUGCAGGAUGACGGCCCUAUGGGUUGUAAACUGCUUUUAUACAGGAAUAAAGUUAGCCACGUGUGGUUAUUUGUAGGUACUGUAUGAAUAAGGACCGGCUAAUUCCGUGCCAGCAGCCGCCGUAA
Molecule: ribosomal RNA, 506 nt
Filed under: uncultured bacterium
Lineage: Bacteria
Description: partial 16S ribosomal RNA
Rfam family: Bacterial small subunit ribosomal RNA
Source: RNAcentral